GCACCCGUAGCUCAGGUGGAUAGAGCGCACGUUUCCUAAACGUGGUGUCGGCGGUUCAAAUCCGUCCGGGUGCGCCA
RNAcentral lists this transfer RNA (77 nucleotides) under Bacilli bacterium. RNAcentral describes it as "tRNA-Arg". It matches the Rfam family "tRNA". From Rfam's summary of the family: Transfer RNA (tRNA) molecules are approximately 80 nucleotides in length. Their secondary structure includes four short double-helical elements and three loops (D, anti-codon, and T loops). The record is from RNAcentral. Lineage: Bacteria; Bacillati; Bacillota; Bacilli.